CUUUUUUUCUUUUUUUUUUAAUUUUUUUUUUUUUGAGACCCAGUCUUGCUCUGUUGCCCAGGCUGGAGUGCAGUGGUGCAAACACGGCUCACUGCAGCCUCUGCCUCCUGGGUUCAGUGAUUCUCAUGCCUCAGCCUCCGAGUAGCUGGGAUUAAAGAUGUGCAUCACCACGCCCAGCUAAUUUUUGUAUUUUUAGUAGAGAUGGGGUUUCACCAUGUUGGCCAGGCUGGUCUCGAAGUCCUGGCCUUAUGUGAUACAAAUAAUUGGGACAGCCUCCCAAAGUGCUGGGAUUACAAGCGUGAGCCACCACACCCAACCUGUUUUUAAAAUGUUUAUUGUCUAUAUUUGAGUUUACAACAUGAUGUUAUAGAAUAAUGGGACAGAUAUAGAUAGCACAGUGGUUACUAUGGUGAAGCCGAUGAGCAUGUCUGUUAUCUCACAUAGUCACCGUUUUUAGUGUGUGUGAGGAGCAGCUGAAACCUGCUUCACAGAAAUCCCUUAUGUUGUGCGUGAGCCCUCUAGACUUACUCAUCCUGUAUAUCUGCUACUUGGUGUCCUUUGGCCUACAUCUCCCUAUUUCCUUCAGCUCCUGCCCAUGAUGGGUCUGCUGUGUGCAGAGGCUCCAUGGGAUGUGUUGUCUUCAUAGUAGCAGGGCGCUGGACCAUGGGUCCGCAAGGUCUCAGCCUUAGAUCCAAGGACAGUCCAAGGAAGUCCUAAGACCAUGGAGUUGGUGAUCUGGGAUCUGGGUUUGCUGAUAUUUCUCACCGUGAAUCUCUUGGUGGUGUUUGUGGGCACGAGAGGGGCAGAGAAUGGAGAGUGAGGCUACCACAUGAAGCGUCACCAGAGCUGCUCCCUGCUGCCUGCUCAGAGCACCCCGGAUCCACUGUUCAAUCUGCACAAGAUUCGGGGUCCAGACAUGGGAGACUUCAGCUGCCUCAGAGGACCGUGGACAGGGAAGGCCAGCCUCGCAUCCCUCUGUCCAUGCCUGGAAUGACUUUAAUAACCAAGAGUUUUAUUUUUGAAUUUGUAGCUGUCGUUCACUUUUUACCCACCCAUUCAAUAAACCUUACAGAAUUGC
Molecule: long non-coding RNA, 1078 nt
Organism: Homo sapiens (human)
Lineage: Eukaryota; Metazoa; Chordata; Mammalia; Primates; Hominidae
Gene: SNHG17
Product: small nucleolar RNA host gene 17
Source: Ensembl